GUCCUUUUGAAUAUGAUUUAAGGUCUNGUCUGCUCAAUGAUUAAUUAAAUAGCUGCAGUAUUUUGACUGUACAAAGGUAGCAUAAUCAUUAGUUUUUUAAUUGAAAGCUUGUAUGAAUGGCUGGAUGAGAAAAAAACUGUCUAUCUAGAAUUUAGUAAGAAUUUUAUUUUUAAGUUAAAAAGCUUAAAUAAUAUUAAAAGACGAGAAGACCCUAUAGAGUUUAAUUAAAUUUAUAUUCAUUUAAUUUUAGAAUUUUAUUUUUAAAAAUAUAAAAUUUAAUUUGAUUGGGGUGAUCUUAAAAUUUAAUAAACUUUUAUAAUUUUUUAACAUUGAUUUAUGAUUAUAUGAUCCAUUAUUAGUGAUUAAUAGAUUAAAUUACCUUAGGGAUAACAGCGUAAUUUUUUUGGAGAGUUCUUAUUGAUAAAAAAGAUUGCGACCUCGAUGUUGGAUUAAAAUUAACAAUUGGCGCAGAAGUUAAUUUGUUGGGUCUGUUCGACCUUUAAAAUUUUACGUGAUC
RNAcentral lists this ribosomal RNA (517 nucleotides) under Cercyon variegatus. RNAcentral describes it as "partial 16S ribosomal RNA". It matches the Rfam family "Bacterial large subunit ribosomal RNA", at positions 1825 to 2605 of the family's 2925-position model. Lineage: Eukaryota; Metazoa; Arthropoda; Insecta; Coleoptera; Hydrophilidae. The record is from RNAcentral.